This 232-nucleotide ribosomal RNA is filed under the name uncultured bacterium. RNAcentral's name for it is "partial 16S ribosomal RNA". It matches the Rfam family "Bacterial small subunit ribosomal RNA", at positions 524 to 752 of the family's 1533-position model. The record is from RNAcentral.
UACGUAGGGGGGCAAGCGUUGUCCGGAUUCACUGGGCGUAAAGCGCGCGCAGGCGGUUUCUCACGUCCGGGGUGAAAGCCCCAGAGCUCAACUCUGGGAUUGCCUUGGAUACGGGGAGACUUGAGGAUCGGAGAGGCAAGGGGAAUUCCACGUGUAGCGGUGAAAUGCGUAGAGAUGUGGAGGAACACCUGUGGCGAAGGCGCCUUGCUGGCCGAUUUCUGACGCUGGAGGC